Molecule: ribosomal RNA, 248 nt
Filed under: uncultured bacterium
Lineage: Bacteria
Description: partial 16S ribosomal RNA
Rfam family: Bacterial small subunit ribosomal RNA
Source: RNAcentral
GUUCCUGGCUCAGGACGAACGCUGGCGGCGCGCCUAACACAUGCAAGUCGAACGAGCGAGAGAGAGCUUGCUUUCUCAAGCGAGUGGCGAACGGGUGAGUAACGCGUGAGGAACCUGCCUCAAAGAGGGGGACAACAGUUGGGAAACGACUGCUAAUACCGCAUAAGCCCACGACCCGGCAUCGGGUAGAGGGAAAAGGAGCAAUCCGCUUUGAGAUGGCCUCGCGUCCGAUUAGCUAGUUGGUGAGG